Long non-coding RNA from Salvelinus sp. IW2-2015, 248 nucleotides. RefSeq lists it as uncharacterized. Lineage: Eukaryota; Metazoa; Chordata; Actinopteri; Salmoniformes; Salmonidae. The record is from RefSeq and is a predicted model, not a curated record.
GUCAUACUGGAUGCUCCCACUGGUAUGUCCUCUGACAUCUGGUUCCAUGUAAAAGAGAACGUUGCACUGCUAACCAAGGUGUGCACUUAUGACAGAGUGGGACUGGGGUUCAGCAAAAGAGUCCUGCAGAAUGAAAGUACAGGGACGGAGAAAGUCUGGGGGAUGUCAACCACUGGACAAAUGGUGGACGACCUCCACCGCCUCAUCAGGUUAGCUGGUUUAGCCACGCCUUUCAUCCUGGUGGGUCU